GACGAGUGGCUCAGUCGGUAAAAGCAUUCGUUUUGAGUGUAGACUGAAUGCUACGGCCCGGGUUCGAUCCCGGCUGUGUCA
RNAcentral lists this transfer RNA (81 nucleotides) under Megalops atlanticus (tarpon). Its description in RNAcentral is "tRNA-Ser". The record is from RNAcentral. Lineage: Eukaryota; Metazoa; Chordata; Actinopteri; Elopiformes; Megalopidae.